AUAGCGGAACAAAAGUAUUUCUUCAUAGUCAUUUGGCAAGCAUUACAGUUGUUGCUUUCCAGAGAGCAGAGUCUGGUUACCCGGCUUUGUGAAUGGGUCAAUGCCAAGGCCAGAUAUCACACUGUUGGCCGACUGGAGAGGGGAAAGGAACAGAAUUGAGAAGAGGCUCCUUUGGACCACAGCGGCCUUGAGGGCUUUCCUACAGCCUGGGACAAACUGAAUAGUCUUUGCCUUGCCUGCUUCUCAGAGUAAAUGUUUAAGAUCCCAAUGAAGACAUCAAAAAGUGAAAGAAGCUAGAGACAGAGCAUGAGAGGGGAAGGAGCAGA
Suricata suricatta (meerkat) is the source of this 326-nucleotide long non-coding RNA. RefSeq lists it as uncharacterized. The transcript has 3 exons. The record is from RefSeq and is a predicted model, not a curated record. Lineage: Eukaryota; Metazoa; Chordata; Mammalia; Carnivora; Herpestidae.